GAGGGUAUAGCUCAAGCAGUAGAGUUCAUGCUUUGCAUGCACGAGGUCCUGGGUUCAAUCCCCAGUACCUCCA
RNAcentral lists this transfer RNA (73 nucleotides) under Camelus bactrianus (Bactrian camel). It matches the Rfam family "tRNA". From Rfam's summary of the family: Transfer RNA (tRNA) molecules are approximately 80 nucleotides in length. Their secondary structure includes four short double-helical elements and three loops (D, anti-codon, and T loops). The record is from Rfam by way of RNAcentral. Lineage: Eukaryota; Metazoa; Chordata; Mammalia; Artiodactyla; Camelidae. RNAcentral also lists the same sequence under 2 other names.